RNAcentral lists this ribosomal RNA (497 nucleotides) under uncultured bacterium. RNAcentral's name for it is "partial 16S ribosomal RNA". It matches the Rfam family "Bacterial small subunit ribosomal RNA", at positions 28 to 507 of the family's 1533-position model. The record is from RNAcentral.
GAUGAACGCUGGCGGCGUGCCUAAUACAUGCAAGUCGAGCGAACGGACGAGAAGCUUGCUUUUCUGAUGUUAGCGGCGGACGGGUGAGUAACACGCGGAUAACCUACCUAUAAGACUGGGAUAACUUCGGGAAACCGGAGCUAAUACCGGAUAAUAUUUUGAACCGCAUGGUUCAUAAGUGAAAGACGGUCUUGCUGUCACUUAUAGAUGGAUCCGCGCUGCAUUAGCUAGUUGGUAAGGUAACGGCUUACCAAGGCAACGAUGCAUAGCCGACCUGAGAGGGUGAUCGGCCACACUGGAACUGAGACACGGUCCAGACUCCUACGGGAGGCAGCAGUAGGGAAUCUUCCGCAAUGGGCGAAAGCCUGACGGAGCAACGCCGCGUGAGUGAUGAAGGUCUUCGGAUCGUAAAACUCUGUUAUUAGGGAAGAACAUAUGUGUAAGUAACUGUGCACAUCUUGACGGUACCUAAUCAGAAAGCCACGGCUAACUACGUG